This 98-nucleotide vault RNA is filed under the name Podarcis muralis (Common wall lizard). RNAcentral describes it as "Vault RNA (ENSPMRG00000004705.1)". It matches the Rfam family "Vault RNA". From Rfam's summary of the family: This family of RNAs are found as part of the enigmatic vault ribonucleoprotein complex. The complex consists of a major vault protein (MVP), two minor vault proteins (VPARP and TEP1), and several small untranslated RNA molecules. The record is from Rfam by way of RNAcentral. Lineage: Eukaryota; Metazoa; Chordata; Lepidosauria; Squamata; Lacertidae.
GGGCCAGCUUAGCCAGCGGUUACUUCGGAUAAUCUUUGCAGAUUCACCAAUUGCCUAACGGCGGUUCGAUACUCCGCGGGUGCUGUCAUGGCUUUUUU